This 2084-nucleotide ribosomal RNA is filed under the name Escherichia coli. Its description in RNAcentral is "partial 23S ribosomal RNA". It matches the Rfam family "Bacterial large subunit ribosomal RNA", at positions 612 to 2681 of the family's 2925-position model. Lineage: Bacteria; Pseudomonadati; Pseudomonadota; Gammaproteobacteria; Enterobacterales; Enterobacteriaceae. The record is from RNAcentral.
AUAAUGGGUCAGCGACUUAUAUUCUGUAGCAAGGUUAACCGAAUAGGGGAGCCGAAGGGAAACCGAGUCUUAACUGGGCGUUAAGUUGCAGGGUAUAGACCCGAAACCCGGUGAUCUAGCCAUGGGCAGGUUGAAGGUUGGGUAACACUAACUGGAGGACCGAACCGACUAAUGUUGAAAAAUUAGCGGAUGACUUGUGGCUGGGGGUGAAAGGCCAAUCAAACCGGGAGAUAGCUGGUUCUCCCCGAAAGCUAUUUAGGUAGCGCCUCGUGAAUUCAUCUCCGGGGGUAGAGCACUGUUUCGGCAAGGGGGUCAUCCCGACUUACCAACCCGAUGCAAACUGCGAAUACCGGAGAAUGUUAUCACGGGAGACACACGGCGGGUGCUAACGUCCGUCGUGAAGAGGGAAACAACCCAGACCGCCAGCUAAGGUCCCAAAGUCAUGGUUAAGUGGGAAACGAUGUGGGAAGGCCCAGACAGCCAGGAUGUUGGCUUAGAAGCAGCCAUCAUUUAAAGAAAGCGUAAUAGCUCACUGGUCGAGUCGGCCUGCGCGGAAGAUGUAACGGGGCUAAACCAUGCACCGAAGCUGCGGCAGCGACGCUGAUGCGUUGUUGGGUAGGGGAGCGUUCUGUAAGCCUGUGAAGGUGUGCUGUGAGGCAUGCUGGAGGUAUCAGAAGUGCGAAUGCUGACAUAAGUAACGAUAAAGCGGGUGAAAAGCCCGCUCGCCGGAAGACCAAGGGUUCCUGUCCAACGUUAAUCGGGGCAGGGUGAGUCGACCCCUAAGGCGAGGCCGAAAGGCGUAGUCGAUGGGAAACAGGUUAAUAUUCCUGUACUUGGUGUUACUGCGAAGGGGGGACGGAGAAGGCUAUGUUGGCCGGGCGACGGUUGUCCCGGUUUAAGCGUGUAGGCUGGUUUUCCAGGCAAAUCCGGAAAAUCAAGGCUGAGGCGUGAUGACGAGGCACUACGGUGCUGAAGCAACAAAUGCCCUGCUUCCAGGAAAAGCCUCUAAGCAUCAGGUAACAUCAAAUCGUACCCCAAACCGACACAGGUGGUCAGGUAGAGAAUACCAAGGCGCUUGAGAGAACUCGGGUGAAGGAACUAGGCAAAAUGGUGCCGUAACUUCGGGAGAAGGCACGCUGAUAUGUAGGUGAAGUCCCUCGCGGAUGGAGCUGAAAUCAGUCGAAGAUACCAGCUGGCUGCAACUGUUUAUUAAAAACACAGCACUGUGCAAACACGAAAGUGGACGUAUACGGUGUGACGCCUGCCCGGUGCCGGAAGGUUAAUUGAUGGGGUCAGCGCAAGCGAAGCUCUUGAUCGAAGCCCCGGUAAACGGCGGCCGUAACUAUAACGGUCCUAAGGUAGCGAAAUUCCUUGUCGGGUAAGUUCCGACCUGCACGAAUGGCGUAAUGAUGGCCAGGCUGUCUCCACCCGAGACUCAGUGAAAUUGAACUCGCUGUGAAGAUGCAGUGUACCCGCGGCAAGACGGAAAGACCCCGUGAACCUUUACUAUAGCUUGACACUGAACAUUGAGCCUUGAUGUGUAGGAUAGGUGGGAGGCUUUGAAGUGUGGACGCCAGUCUGCAUGGAGCCGGCCUUGAAAUACCACCCUUUAAUGUUUGAUGUUCUAACGUUGACCCGUGAUCCGGGUUGCGGACAGUGUCUGGUGGGUAGUUUGACUGGGGCGGUCUCCUCCUAAAGAGUAACGGAGGAGCACGAAGGUUGGCUAAUCCUGGUCGGACAUCAGGAGGUUAGUGCAAUGGCAUAAGCCAGCUUGACUGCGAGCGUGACGGCGCGAGCAGGUGCGAAAGCAGGUCAUAGUGAUCCGGUGGUUCUGAAUGGAAGGGCCAUCGCUCAACGGAUAAAAGGUACUCCGGGGAUAACAGGCUGAUACCGCCCAAGAGUUCAUAUCGACGGCGGUGUUUGGCACCUCGAUGUCGGCUCAUCACAUCCUGGGGCUGAAGUAGGUCCCAAGGGUAUGGCUGUUCGCCAUUUAAAGUGGUACGCGAGCUGGGUUUAGAACGUCGUGAGACAGUUCGGUCCCUAUCUGCCGUGGGCGCUGGAGAACUGAGGGGGGCUGCUCCUAG